Molecule: long non-coding RNA, 165 nt
Organism: Haliotis rubra (blacklip abalone)
Lineage: Eukaryota; Metazoa; Mollusca; Gastropoda; Lepetellida; Haliotidae
Exons: 2
Source: RefSeq, a predicted model, not a curated record
UGCGUCUUCUCGACCUACCUGGAUAGACAGGUGUAUCUAUAGGUGUACUUGUGUCUUCUCGACCUACCUGGAUAGACAGGUCAAUCUGUAGGUGUCUGUGUGUCUGUUAUUGCUCCUGUAAGUGUUUAUCAAAUUAUCUCAACAAAAUAAAUAUGUUAAACUACU